RNAcentral lists this ribosomal RNA (739 nucleotides) under uncultured bacterium. Its description in RNAcentral is "bacterial SSU rRNA". It matches the Rfam family "Bacterial small subunit ribosomal RNA", at positions 48 to 777 of the family's 1533-position model. The record is from RNAcentral.
GCUACACAUGCAGUCGAACGGCAGCACAGGAGAGCUUGCUCUCUGGGUGGCGAGUGGCGGACGGGUGAGGAAUACAUCGGAAUCUACUUUUUCGUGGGGGAUAACGUAGGGAAACUUACGCUAAUACCGCAUACGACCUACGGGUGAAAGCAGGGGAUCUUCGGACCUUGCGCGAUUGAAUGAGCCGAUGUCGGAUUAGCUAGUUGGCGGGGUAAAGGCCCACCAAGACGACGAUCCGUAGCUGGUCUGAGAGGAUGAUCAGCCACACUGGAACUGAGACACGGUCCAGACUCCUACGGGAGGCAGCAGUGGGGAAUAUUGGACAAUGGGCGCAAGCCUGAUCCAGCCAUACCGCGUGGGUGAAGAAGGCCUUCGGGUUGUAAAGCCCUUUUGUUGGGAAAGAAAUCCAGCUGGCUAAUACCCGGUUGGGAUGACGGUACCCAAAGAAUAAGCACCGGCUAACUUCGUGCCAGCAGCCGCGGUAAUACGAAGGGUGCAAGCGUUACUCGGAAUUACUGGGCGUAAAGCGUGCGUAGGUGGUCGUUUAAGUCCGUUGUGAAAGCCCUGGGCUCAACCUGGGAACUGCAGUGGAUACUGGGCGACUAGAGUGUGGUAGAGGGUAGCGGAAUUCCUGGUGUAGCAGUGAAAUGCGUAGAGAUCAGGAGGAACAUCCAUGGCGAAGGCAGCUACCUGGACCAACACUGACACUGAGGCACGAAAGCGUGGGGAGCAAACAGGA